CAGUCGAGCGCGAAAGGUUUUCGGACUGAGUAAAGCGGCGGACGGGUGAGUAACGCGUGGGAAUCUGACCAGUAGUGGGGGACAACAGCCGGAAACGGCUGCUAAUACCGCAUACGCCCUACGGGGGAAAGGGGGGGAUCUUCGGACCUCUCGCUAUUGGAUGAGCCCGCGUCGGAUUAGCUAGUUGGUAGGGUAAAGGCCUACCAAGGCUACGAUCCGUAACUGGUCUGAGAGGAUGAUCAGUCACACUGGAACUGAGACACGGUCCAGACUCCUACGGGAGGCAGCAGUGGGGA
RNAcentral lists this ribosomal RNA (296 nucleotides) under uncultured soil bacterium. RNAcentral describes it as "partial 16S ribosomal RNA". It matches the Rfam family "Bacterial small subunit ribosomal RNA", at positions 59 to 360 of the family's 1533-position model. The record is from RNAcentral.